RNAcentral lists this unclassified non-coding RNA (142 nucleotides) under uncultured fungus. Its description in RNAcentral is "sequence contains ITS1". The record is from RNAcentral. Lineage: Eukaryota; Fungi.
GUAUUUAAAUUAUUUUUAUAAAUUAUUUAUAGACUUUUUUGGUAUAUAUGUUUCUAGGAAAAGGAUAUAUAUCCUCCCCCUUAUUCACAAAGGUUUGUUUAAAGAUUUGUUAAUGAUCCUUCCGCAGGUUCACCUACGGAAA